GACGAACGCUGGCGGCGUGCUUAACACAUGCAAGUCGAGCGGUAAGGCCCUUUCGGGGGUACGACGAGCGGCGAACGGGUGAGUAACACGUGGGUGACCUGCCCUCAGCUCUGGGAUAAGCCCGGGAACCUGGGUCUAAUACCGGAUAUGACUCCAUGACGCAUGUUGUGGGGUGGAAAGCCUUGUGCGGUUGAGGAUGGGCCCGCGGCCUAUCAGCUUGUUGGUGGGGUGAUGGCCACCAAGGCGACGACGGUAGCCGGCCUGAGAGGGCGACCGGCCACACUGGGACUGAGACACGGCCCA
Molecule: ribosomal RNA, 303 nt
Filed under: uncultured bacterium
Lineage: Bacteria
Description: bacterial SSU rRNA
Rfam family: Bacterial small subunit ribosomal RNA
Source: RNAcentral